GUCAAGUAAAUGAUUGUCACCUUAGCAAAAUCGGAACGAUACAGAGAAGAUUAGCAUGGCCCCUGUGCAAGGAUGACACGCUCUAAUCGAGAUUUGGUCCAAAUUUUU
Molecule: small nuclear RNA, 108 nt
Organism: Raphanus sativus (radish)
Lineage: Eukaryota; Viridiplantae; Streptophyta; Magnoliopsida; Brassicales; Brassicaceae
Source: RefSeq, a predicted model, not a curated record